GACGAACGCUGGCGGCGUGCUUAACACAUGCAAGUCGAACGGAAAGGCCCUGCUUUUGUGGGGUGCUCGAGUGGCGAACGGGUGAGUAACACGUGAGUAACCUGCCCUUGACUUUGGGAUAACUUCAGGAAACUGGGGCUAAUACCGGAUAGGAGCUCCUGCUGCAUGGUGGGGGUUGGAAAGUUUCGGCGGUUGGGGAUGGGCUCGCGGCUUAUCAGCUUGUUGGUGGGGUAGUGGCUUACCAAGGCUUUGACGGGUAGCCGGCCUGAGAGGGUGACCGGCCACAGGGGGACGGAGAUACGGCCCAGACUCCUACGGGAGGCAACAGUGGGGAAGAUGGCACAAGGGGCGGAAGCCUGAUGCAGCAACGCCGCGUGCGGGAUGACGGCCUUCGGGUUGUAAACCGCUUUCGCCUGUGACGAAGCGUGAGUGACGGUAAUGGGUAAAGAAGCACCGGCUAACUACGU
This 467-nucleotide ribosomal RNA is filed under the name uncultured bacterium. Its description in RNAcentral is "partial 16S ribosomal RNA". It matches the Rfam family "Bacterial small subunit ribosomal RNA", at positions 28 to 506 of the family's 1533-position model. The record is from RNAcentral.